AUGGCCCAUGCUCGUGGUAUCGUGGCCUUUAGCUCUGUCUACGUGUUUGACGAUGUGAUCACCAAGGGGCCCUCGAUCACAUCUAAGGUGCUUGGGAAUGCGCAGGGCAUGUACGUCGGCACAGCAAAAGAUGGGUACACGAUUUUGAUGGUCAUCGAUGUUGAGAUCACAACUGGCCCAUUCAAUGGCAGUUCGUUUGUAUUGUUCUCAAGGAACCCGUUGAGAUCAACCAGGGAGCUCCCCGUUAUUGGAGGUCGGGGUGCAUUCCGGAUGGCCCAAGGGUACGGCAUGCUCCGGAUGGUGUGCGUUCACUGUCUCACCUCUACGAACCCUCCCAGUGGAGAUGUGAUAGAGUACAAUGUGACGCUCUGGCACCAUUAG
RNAcentral lists this ribosomal RNA (381 nucleotides) under Triticum aestivum (bread wheat). Its description in RNAcentral is "partial small subunit ribosomal RNA". The record is from RNAcentral. Lineage: Eukaryota; Viridiplantae; Streptophyta; Magnoliopsida; Poales; Poaceae.